RNAcentral lists this ribosomal RNA (253 nucleotides) under uncultured bacterium. Its description in RNAcentral is "partial 16S ribosomal RNA". It matches the Rfam family "Bacterial small subunit ribosomal RNA", at positions 524 to 776 of the family's 1533-position model. The record is from RNAcentral.
UACGUAGGGGGCUAGCGUUGUCCGGAAUCAUUGGGCGUAAAGCGCGCGUAGGCGGCCAGAUAAGUCCGGUGUGAAAGUCAAAGGCUCAACCUUUGAAUGCCGCUGGAAACUGUCUGGCUUGAGUCCGGAAGGGGCGAGUGGAAUUCCUGGUGUAGCGGUGAAAUGCGCAGAUAUCAGGAGGAACACCAAUGGCGAAGGCAGCUCGCUGGAACGGUACUGACGCUGAGGCGCGAAAGCGUGGGUAGCAAACAGG